This 718-nucleotide long non-coding RNA is filed under the name Mus pahari (shrew mouse). Its description in RNAcentral is "lncRNA (MGP_PahariEiJ_G0003133.1)". The record is from RNAcentral. Lineage: Eukaryota; Metazoa; Chordata; Mammalia; Rodentia; Muridae.
GAGGGCUGCGGUCAGCCAGUCCAGGAGACCUGCAUAGGUGCCAGCUCACACACAGGAACUUUGUGGAGGCUCUGGCAGGAACGUGUGGGUUCGGCAUACCCAAGGCUGUGUGCCUAGGUGUACCUUUCCCUGGGACUUUGCCUCUCUGGGUCAGUGUUGGUCACAGGCUUGUGCGUUGCUUGCUGGAGGGAGCUUGAGACACCUGAAGAAUGGCCCAGCUCUGGCUGAACUAGAUCCAGGUGUCACGAAUGGCCUGACCCCAUCCUUAACAGACCAAGGUAGCUUGGACAGGAGUAGUCAUGCAGGCCUUCCCCUCCCAGACCCUUCAGUGGCAGUGCUAGUGAUGUAACUUAGGGCAUUGGGCUCACACACGCAAGGAGCUACAUUUCUGGCCCUCCAGUGAUUCUUAAGUGUUCUUACAUGUGACUUCUAUCACAUAUUGUCCAUGGACAGUCAGACAGAGACCCAUGGCCCCGAAUCCAGCCUUAACUUCCUCAGAAUACCUACACUCACAGCAAAUUGCAUACUGGAGUCACAGUGAUGUUGGUUCCCGGUUCCACUUUCUAACUCUCUUAAACACAGCUUUCUUCUCCAUAAAACUGUCAUAGUAAUAGCUACUUCUUAGGCUUUCACUAAUUCAUUUAUACCGUACCAACCACAUCUCAGUAAAUGCCAGCUGACAAGCCAAGACCAGGUGGCUAAGGGGCCGGGCUCCUCC